UACAGAGGGUGCGAGCGUUAAUCGGAAUUACUGGGCGUAAAGCGUGUGCAGGCGGUUCGUGAAGUCCGAUGUGAAAGCCCUGGGCUCAACCCGGGAAUGGCAUUGGAAACUGGCGGGCUAGAGUGUGGCAGAGGGGGGUGGAAUUCCUGGUGUAGCAGUGAAAUGCGCAGAUAUCAGGAAGAACACCCGUGGCUAAGGCGGUUCUCUAGUACGGUACUGACGCUGAGACGCGAAAGCGUGGGGAGCGAACAGG
RNAcentral lists this ribosomal RNA (253 nucleotides) under uncultured bacterium. RNAcentral's name for it is "partial 16S ribosomal RNA". It matches the Rfam family "Bacterial small subunit ribosomal RNA", at positions 524 to 776 of the family's 1533-position model. The record is from RNAcentral.